GAUGAACGCUGGCGGCGGGCCUAAUACAUGCAAGUCGAGCGAACAGACGAGGAUCUUGCUCCUCUUACGUUAGCGGCGGACGGGUGAGUAACACGUGUAUAACCUACCUAUAAGACUGGGAUAAGUUCGGGAAACCUGAUCUAAUACCGGAUAAGAUAUUGAACCGCAUGGUUCAAUAGUGAAAGACCUUUUUGCUGUCACUUAUAGAUGUAUCCUCGCCGCAUUAGCUAGUUGGUAAGGUAACGGCUUACCAAGGCAACGAUGCGUAGCCGACCUGAGAGGGUGAUCAGCCACACUGGAACUGAGACACGGUCCAGACUCCUACGGGAGGCAGCAGUAGGGAAUCUUCCGCAAUGGGCGAAAGCCUGACGGAGCAACGCCGCGUGAGUGAUGAAGGUCUUCGGAUCGUAAAACUCUGUUAUUAGGGAAGAACAAAUGUGUAAGUAACUAUGCACGUCUUGACGGUACCUACACAGAAAGCCCCGGCUAACUACGUG
RNAcentral lists this ribosomal RNA (497 nucleotides) under uncultured bacterium. RNAcentral describes it as "partial 16S ribosomal RNA". It matches the Rfam family "Bacterial small subunit ribosomal RNA", at positions 28 to 507 of the family's 1533-position model. The record is from RNAcentral.